RNAcentral lists this long non-coding RNA (444 nucleotides) under Nicotiana benthamiana. RNAcentral describes it as "long non-coding RNA (NBEN_LNC008384)". The record is from RNAcentral. Lineage: Eukaryota; Viridiplantae; Streptophyta; Magnoliopsida; Solanales; Solanaceae.
GUUUUUUCGACAUCUUUUGGCGUUUCAUUAACAGUUGGAGUGCUCUCAACCUUAGCGGUUGAAGUAGCAAUGGCCCGGUCAUUGAGUUCCUGGAGCCGAGCCAUAUGCUUCUUCCCUGUCCUGUGUGGCUCCAUUGAUUUCUCAGAAAAAGCCCCUACUUUGCUUGUUGCACACAAGAAUUUGAACUUUUUCUUCUUAGUCGCCUUAGUCUUUUGCUUUUCCUGAGCAGCAUUUGCACCUUUUUCCAAGCCAUCAGCAUGGUGUUGCAAAGAUGGUGUGACGUUGUCCUUUGUACCUUCUUUCUCCAAAAUCUCUAGAGAUGUUCCCUCCACCAAUUUAUUACCAGGCAAGAAUUCAACUUUCGAUUUUAUGUUGAGAUUGUCAUCAACCGAGGGAGGGGUAGUAUUUUGGCCAAUACUUUCACCGGUUUUAGCUUUUCCUUUA